ACAUGAGAACCACAUAAUGGCAUGGUAUGAGGGUCACUAAGCAAGACUCGAGGCUUGGGAGAGGUUGAGUGAAGGUUUAGCUAAGGUAGUACCUAGGGUCCCUUAAGGUAGUACCUAAAGGCCAUUAAGGUAGUACCUAAAGGCCAUUAAGGUAGUACUUAAGGGCUCUUAAGGUAGUACCUAAGGUAUAGUCCCAAAAAACCAUAGGUGGACCACUUGUUCACACAUGAGAACCACAUAAUGGCAUGAUAUGAGGGUCACUAAGCAAGACCCGAGGCUUGGGAGAGGUUGAAUUAAGGUUUAGCUAAGGUAGUACCUAGGGUCCCUUAAGAUAGUAC
Molecule: long non-coding RNA, 338 nt
Filed under: Vitis vinifera (wine grape)
Lineage: Eukaryota; Viridiplantae; Streptophyta; Magnoliopsida; Vitales; Vitaceae
Description: long non-coding RNA (VVIN_LNC004354)
Source: RNAcentral